Molecule: ribosomal RNA, 376 nt
Filed under: uncultured Acidobacteriota bacterium
Lineage: Bacteria; Pseudomonadati; Acidobacteriota
Description: uncultured Acidobacteria bacterium partial 16S ribosomal RNA
Rfam family: Bacterial small subunit ribosomal RNA
Source: RNAcentral
UGCAAGUCGGACGCGAAAGCCCCGCAAGGGGCUUGCAGUGUGGCGCACGGGUGAGUAACACGUGGAUAACCUGCCUGGCAGAGGGGACUAACCUCCCGAAAGGGGGGCUAAUGCCGCAUAAGACCUCUAGGCGCAAGUCUGGGGGUUUUUUUCCUGAGACCCGCUGGCAGAGGGGUCCGCGCCUGAUUAGCUAGUUGGUGAGGUAACGGCUCACCAAGGCUACGAUCAGUAGCCGUCCUGAGAGGGAGCACGGCCACACUGGAACUGAGACACGGUCCAGACUCCUACGGGAGGCAGCAGUGGGGAAUUUUUGGCAAUGGGGGCAACCCUGACCAAGCAACGCCGCGUGGGUGAGGAAGUACCUUGGUACGUAAAG